Long non-coding RNA from Homo sapiens (human), 2534 nucleotides. RefSeq annotates it as chromosome 18 putative open reading frame 15. NCBI's taxonomy places the organism in Eukaryota, Metazoa, Chordata, Mammalia, Primates, Hominidae. The transcript has a single exon. The record is from RefSeq and is marked validated.
AAUGAUCAUACAGUCUUAGAGCAAAUGAAAGUAGCAGUUGUCCAGAGGGGGCUUGGGCCAGCCAUCCGGCUGGAGAGACCUUCAGUAGGCUCAGAACAGCUGCGCUCAUUCACUCACUGUUCCACUUUCUUGUAAUGCCUGCACCAGUCACAGUGUGGACUGGGGACCAGACGCAGAUGCCCUGGCUGUCCUUGGCGGGCCUGGAAAGAGUGGAGCCCCAAGUUGCCGGCUGGCAAACCUCCAGCUGUGGCCCGUGGGGUUUGCUCCAUGGUGGCCUGGGCCACGCAGGCUGUACCAGCCAUGAGAUGCCAUGGAGCCAAAGGCUGCGACUGUAGCUGUUUGUGCUGCAGCCAACCUUUACCCAGUUCCUGACUGCUGUUUGUUUGGUUUGCCAUGGGUACUUCUGGGGACCUCCUGGCAGCAUGCUGGCCCGUGCAACUCUCCUCAUGCCAGUUGUAGGGUCCCUGUUCCUGUUUGGCCAAGGAAGGGAUUUCCUAAGUGUAUACAUAUUUAUUUAGCUUUGCCAUGUUUUGGAUGGCCUUGGACAUAGAAACUCAUUGCACAUUAGUUAAAUAACUAGGCCAGCAUUCUGAAAGACCCGACUCCAGACCUACUUCGGUGAUGGAGAUGGGCACAUGCAGGGUCAGGGUGCUUUGAAAGAGUCACACAUUCACCUUCCAACAGAGCAGCCUGAGGCUUCCCUAGUCUUGCAGGGUCAACUUGCUGAAAGCUCAGCCCUUGGCCCCAAAGGAGCUCUGAGGCCGCAGGCCCAGAGCCCCGAUGUCCCCGUGAGCUGGUGGCAGGGAAGCGGAAAAAGGCUUUCACACCGCCUCCCCCACAUAUGCUCACAGCCUCCCCUGGGCCCUUUCUUGCCUCUCACAUGGCCAUCCUGUGGGUUCUUUGGCCUGGGAGGUGCUGCUUCAGCCUCCCUCGGCCUUGAGGUGCUCCAAGACAGCGUCAGCACCUGGGCUAGAGGUCCGUGCUGCCCUGUGCAUCCUCAGAGUUUGACUGUAGUGUGCAUGUGUGCAUGCAUGUGCGUGUGUGUGCAUGUGUGUGCUUGUGUAUAUGUGUGCAUGUGUGUGCUUGUGUGCAUGUGUGCAUGCGCAUGUAUGCGUGCGCACCGUUAUUUUCUAAUGGACUGUGCAGGCAUCUGUUCUCCUCAUGGACCAGGAACUCAGUGAUCAGGGACUCCCCUGUUUACUUUGAUAUUCCAGCUGCCCUCCAGAGCGCCUAGCACAUAGUAGGUCUUCAGUGACUGCCAGAUGAGAGGAUAUUUAAAUGAGACGGCAGCUUUGGAGGGAUGACAACAGAUUGUGGUCUAAUCUCACGAUUUUUGCCUGAGAGAGAAUUGGCCCUACUCGAGGCGGGCUUUUUUUUUCUUUUCUUUUCUUUUCUUUUUUUUUUGAGAUGGAGUUUCACUCUUGUUGCCCACGCUGGAGUGCAAUGGUGCAAUCUCAGCUCACUGCAACGUCUGCCUCCCGGGUUCAAGCGAUUCUCCUGCCUCGGCCUCCUGAUUAGCUGGGAUUACAGGCAUGUGCCACUACCCGGCCAAUUUUGUAUUUUUAGUAGAGACGGGGCUUCUCCAUGUUGGUCAGGCUGGUCUGGAACUCCUGACCUCAAGUGAUCCACCUGCCUCGGCCUCCCGAAAUGCUGGGAUUACAGGCAUGAGCCACUGCGCCAGGCCAAGGCGGGCUUUAUUUGUGUCUGUUGGACACCUCACAUGGCACCUCACAGGGCGCUGGUUUAUAAAGACCCAAACCAGUGUCGAGUUCCAUGCUGGCCCCGGCGUCUGCUGUGUGCUUUCGCUGUGUGUAUACAUGCGGAAGUUCAUUCCGGAGGCUUCCAGGGUAGCCUCCCGGGUGCUGCAGCGGGUCUCCCGCUCAUCACUACUCUGUACACAAUGUCUUGAUACGCUGAGGAUUGAAAUGGAGCAGUGAUCCUGCCUCAAGGUAGACAGCAAAACCCAGGCUAUGUGGGAGUCAGUGUGGUAGGACUGAGGGCGUGCCUGAGGGACGGAUGCAGGGGCAGAGAGAGCAGCAGGUGAAGGCUGGGCCUCCUGCUGAAAGCCGGUAUUGCUGAGACUCCAGGGUCAGCCUUCCAGCUCCUCCUCCUGACUGACCGCUGGCAAUGUAGGGGUGACUGUCCCAGCCUCCUGCUGCAGGGCGCUCUGCCGUCAGUAGAGAAUCCUCCUCUGUCCCCGCGGUCCCCUCCCCGCUGAACAGCCUGGAUCCUGCUUUCACAGGGACAUGCGUGAAAUGGGUCCUGCGCCGUAAUUACUCCUGCUGGAGACCGGGAUUGCAAAGAUGACUGUCAUGUUGUCUCGUGCAUCUUACAUCUUUUACUGUGAUUAAAAAUAAAUGUCGUGGGGUUCACGUCCCACAGACCCUUAUGUACUGCAGAGGUCAAACUGGGGCGGGUUUCUCACACGCGUCAUCACGCGAGGCCAGUGUCCGUCGGGGUGUGUGUCUACAAGCACGGGGCUUCGUGGCCUAUCUUUAUGAACCCUCCAGGGUGAUGUGAAGCCAGCCACAAAC